CUAUACUGCAGUCGAGCGAAUGGAUUAAGAGCUUGCUCUUAUGAAGUUAGCGGCGGACGGGUGAGUAACACGUGGGUAACCUGCCCAUAAGACUGGGAUAACUCCGGGAAACCGGGGCUAAUACCGGAUAACAUUUUGAACCGCAUGGUUCGAAAUUGAAAGGCGGCUUCGGCUGUCACUUAUGGAUGGACCCGCGUCGCAUUAGCUAGUUGGUGAGGUAACGGCUCACCAAGGCAACGAUGCGUAGCCGACCUGAGAGGGUGAUCGGCCACACUGGGACUGAGACACGGCCCAGACUCCUACGGGAGGCAGCAGUAGGGAAUCUUCCGCAAUGGACGAAAGUCUGACGGAGCAACGCCGCGUGAGUGAUGAAGGCUUUCGGGUCGUAAAACUCUGUUGUUAGGGAAGAACAAGUGCUAGUUGAAUAAGCUGGCACCUUGACGGUACCUAACCAGAAAGCCACGGCUAACUACGUGCCAGCAGCCGCGG
RNAcentral lists this ribosomal RNA (489 nucleotides) under Bacillus sp. RMRC-SP-2-2. RNAcentral describes it as "bacterial SSU rRNA". It matches the Rfam family "Bacterial small subunit ribosomal RNA", at positions 49 to 520 of the family's 1533-position model. The record is from RNAcentral. Lineage: Bacteria; Bacillati; Bacillota; Bacilli; Caryophanales; Bacillaceae.